GGUUGUAGCUCAGUGGCAGAGCGCUUGCCUGGCAUGCGUGAGGCACUGGGUUCAAUCCUCAGCACCA
This 67-nucleotide transfer RNA is filed under the name Ictidomys tridecemlineatus (thirteen-lined ground squirrel). Its description in RNAcentral is "Spermophilus tridecemlineatus (thirteen-lined ground squirrel) tRNA". It matches the Rfam family "tRNA". Rfam says of the family: Transfer RNA (tRNA) molecules are approximately 80 nucleotides in length. RNAcentral also lists the same sequence under 1 other name. Lineage: Eukaryota; Metazoa; Chordata; Mammalia; Rodentia; Sciuridae. The record is from Rfam by way of RNAcentral.